GAUGAACGCUGACAGAAUGCUUAACACAUGCAAGUCGAUGGGGUAGUGGUGCUUGCACCAUGGUAACCAUGGCGGACGGGUGAGUAACGCGUAAGGGACUUACCUGCAGGACUGGGAUAACAGGGGGAAACUCCUGACAAGACCGGAUAAUGUCAUGGAGCUGCAUGGCUUUAUGAUGAAAGGAGACGCCUGCGGAGAGCCUUGCGUCCUAUUAGCUAGUUGGUGAGGUAAUGGCUCACCAAGGCGAAGAUAGGUAGCCGGCCUGAGAGGGUGGACGGCCACAAGGGGACUGAGAUACGGCCCUUACUCCUACGGGAGGCAGCAGUGGGGAAUAUUGGACAAUGGGGGCAACCCUGAUCCAGCAAUUCUGUGUGCACGAAGAAGGUUUUCGGAUUGUAAAGUGCUUUCAGCAGGGAAGAAGGAAGUGACGGUACCUGCAGAAGAAGCGACGGCUAAAUACGUGCCAGCAGCCGCGGUAAUACGUAUGUCGCGAGCGUUAUCCGGAAUUAUUGGGCAUAAAGGGCAUCUAGGCGGCCUGACAAGUCAGGGGUGAAAACCUGCGGCUCAACCGCAGGCCUGCCUUUGAAACUGUGAGGCUGGAGUACCGGAGAGGUGGACGGAACUGCACGAGUAGAGGUGAAAUUCGUAGAUAUGUGCAGGAAUGCCGAUGAUGAAGAUAGUUCACUGGACGGUAACUGACGCUGAAGUGCGAAAGCCGGGGGAGCGAACAGG
This 732-nucleotide ribosomal RNA is filed under the name uncultured Leptotrichia sp. RNAcentral's name for it is "bacterial SSU rRNA". It matches the Rfam family "Bacterial small subunit ribosomal RNA", at positions 28 to 776 of the family's 1533-position model. Lineage: Bacteria; Fusobacteriati; Fusobacteriota; Fusobacteriia; Fusobacteriales; Leptotrichiaceae. The record is from RNAcentral.